Molecule: ribosomal RNA, 858 nt
Filed under: Triticum aestivum (bread wheat)
Lineage: Eukaryota; Viridiplantae; Streptophyta; Magnoliopsida; Poales; Poaceae
Description: partial small subunit ribosomal RNA
Source: RNAcentral
AUGGGAUCGCAGCUGCCGCCGCCGUUUCACUUCGGCCAUCUCAUCACCAUCAAGUUGUCGUCGGACAACUACAUCUUCUGGCGCGCGCAGGUUCUUCCGCUUCUUGGGAGUCACUACCUGCUUGGCUAUGUCGACGGCUCUCUCCCUUGCCCUCCUGCGCUGGUUGACAGCGUGCACGGUCCGGUCUAUAAUCCAGCUCACCGUGUCUGGACAGGGCAGGAUCAGGCGAACCUCUCCUCCAUCCAGGGGUCGCUCUCUCCGGCCGUCACUGGGCUUGUUGUCUUCGCCAAGACGUCCCAUGAGGCGUGGACUAUUCUUGAGCGCUCGUUUGCGGCACAGUCGCAGGCUCGUGUAUCUGGGCUCCGUCGCCAACUUGGGGAGUGUCAGAAGCUUGACUCCACCGCCACUGAGUUCUACAACAAAGUCAAGGGCCUCGCCGACACGCUGGCCUCCAUUGGACAGCCCCUCAGCGACUCCGAGUUCAACUCGUUUAUUGUCAAUGGUCUUGAUGAGGAGUAUGACGCCUUAGUCGAGAUCAUCAAUGAGAGGGGCAACUCCACACCCAUGCCAGCACACGAGGUCUUUUCACGCCUCCUUCUUACUGAACAACGAGUCGAGACGCGCCGAUCCAGGGGCAACGGCGCCCUCUUGGCCAACGCCGCCACCAAGGGUGGUCGCUCUUCUUCAUCAUCCAGGGCUCCUUCGGGGCAGCCACCACCGCCCGCCUCGGCCCCUCCUCCUACUGCGACGUUGCCAGGGGCUGGCGGUCCGCGUGUGUGUCAGCUUUGUGGUCGCGAUGGGCACUGGGACUCGAAGUGUCACUGUUGGAAAUAUGCCCUAGAGGCAAUAAUAAAUUGA